CUUUUUGGAACCCCAGACACUUGGCCUCAGCCUCAUCGAUCCAGCCUGUCCAGAUCCCUCUGCAGAGCCUUCCUGCCUUUCAGCAGAUGAACACUCCUCCCCAACUUGGAGUAGUCUGCAAACUGACUGAGGGUUCACUCAAUCCCCUUGUCCAGAUCAUUGAUGAAGAUACUAAACAGGGCUGGCCCCAACACUGACCCCAGGGGAACACGACUGGUGACUGGCCACCAUCUGGAUUUAACUCCACCACCACUCUCUGGGCCUGGCCAUUCAGCCUGUUUUCUACCCAGUGAAGUGUACACCUGUCCAAGCCAUAAGCAGAUGUUUUCUCCAGGAGAG
Molecule: long non-coding RNA, 339 nt
Organism: Empidonax traillii (willow flycatcher)
Lineage: Eukaryota; Metazoa; Chordata; Aves; Passeriformes; Tyrannidae
Exons: 3
Source: RefSeq, a predicted model, not a curated record